This is a non-coding RNA of Pelobates cultripes (western spadefoot toad), 230 nucleotides long. The record is from the annotation of a GenBank genome assembly. Lineage: Eukaryota; Metazoa; Chordata; Amphibia; Anura; Pelobatidae.
CAAUGUGUUACUUAUUUAAAGGGGCCGCUUGUGAAUCCCACGUUUAAAGGGACACCAUGGUCACCAGAAAAACUACAGCUUAAAGUAGCGGUUCUGGUGAUUAGAACAUGUCCCUGAAGGCUUUUCAGAGAAAAGGCAGUGUUUAAAUUACUGCCUAGGAUCAACUCUACAUAUCGUCUGACUGACUUCCACUAGAGGUGCUUCCUGGGUGUGCAGCACUGGCGUUUAGC